UCUGUCACCUCUCCUCUUUAGAAACAGCUGAGUAUGUUGGUUUACGACAUCUACAGGUGUGCAGUCCUGUGUCUUAACAAAGGUGGCGCCGCCAACCGUGAUCACGUGUUAGUACCACGUUUAAGUGUCGUCCAUGAAACUGAUACAUCACUGUUUUGUUUUGGAAAAGUUUUCAGUAAAGACGGAAUCGUUUCAGGAAAUAUCUGCGUAAACACAAAACCACUGACUAAAAAUGAUGCAGUGCACAUGCCAAGCUGGUAGGUGGCGCUGUCAGACUAAGAUGGAGGAAGAGAACGGAGCAUGAGUAUAGAGGUUGUUUUAGCCGGACUCGCACAGACGCCUGAAGAGAGUUCCAAAAAAGAUCAGGAUAGGAGUCCACACAGACAGGAAACAGUUUUCACAUACGGAGUUAUGGGGACCUUUUUUUAGUAAGUAUGAUUGACAGUCACAUGAAACGUGUUUCCGUGUGGACGAAAUGUCGAUACGCCAAAAACUGUUGUCCGAUUACUCCCAAACUUCGUACAACCACACGAAACAACCACGAACUCUCCCUUUAAAAAUGAACCUGCAGGGCUCCUGUAGUUUACUGAACACCGGUCGUCAGGAGGUUAUCUGGACUGAUGAGAAGGUCGUUUGUGAAAGAAGAAGACGGAGAAAAAAGGUCAGAGUGAAAAUCAAAGAUCUGGACACAAGAACUGAGACCCCAAUGAAGAGACCGCAGCAGGUCCCCCUUUAAAGAAAAAACUGUUUGGGUCACAAAACCAUGAAGUUAUAAAACAGACACUGAAGGGUACCUCGAAACGGAAGUCGAGAGAGUUUCGCCAUCCGCAGACCUCUGGAAACGACCAUGGUUACGGUAAUUUCAUAUCGACAUAUCGAUAAAUAUCACGAUAUAUCACGACUUUGUGAGAACAUGAACUCGACAUCAUUUACAGUCCACAGGUGCUAUGGUUGGGUGGAGCUGCUGUCUGCUACGACGCUGCAGUUGGUUGAUACUUGGUUCUAAUUCAGAACAUGAUUGGUUCAGACCUGGAGAAACUCCCCUUUUCAUUGGCUGUUCGUAUAGUCGACCAAAACAUGUCAGAGUGACGACUAUUGAAAAGGAUAUUGAUCAUGUUUUAUAUCAAUAUUGAGGGAAAUUGAUUUUUGAUAGAUAUCGUGAUCGUUUUAUCGCCCAGCCCUAACCAUGAUUGUGUCGGACUUCAUCAGCGUAACUUUGAAUAAUAACUUUAGUCGUUACUGAAACCUUUAAUUUAGUUACAUUUCUCUUUUUCAUAUAAACUUCACAUCAGCUACUCUAACUGAGAAAGAAGAACCAUCCCCGCCCUGAUCCCACCUGCUGAGACGGAUCACAGACAACUUGAGCGCGUUAAAUGACCGUCAUGUUUUUGAAGUGAUCCGUAGAUCUUUGAGGAUAACGUGUGUUUGGGUUAGACCUUCUCCAGGACUUGGAUCCUGGAGACCCAUUAGAGGUCUGUGAGGAAAUUCCAGUUUAUGCCGACUUUGGCGCCCCCUGUGGACAAAGCAGUCUUUGCUUCCUUUGGCUGUUUCUGCUGUUUCCUGAAACAACAAAAGGAUAAAAUAACGUGUAAAAGUAUAAAAGUUUAUUUUGUUCUCACACCAGUUUGGAAAACCUGCAGAGUUCGCCUGGCGUGACUCCCCUCCACCCGCGGCCCCCGGUGAGGCCCUGCAGAUCCACAUCCUCCUCAAUGGACUCACUCAAUUAACGGGCCAUGAAGCCCUCGACCCUUCCCGACCCCGCAGACCCCUGAGAGUCACGCACCGCAGAGGCACGCUCGUGGUGGAGACGGGUGGUUCAGAGGAGCGGGCGGGCGGGUCUCUGGGGGUGAGGGUGUGAGGGGGGGGUCGGUCAGUGGUCUUUUGUUGCCGCGGUGUCCAGCCUGCCCCCCUCCACCCCUGGGGUCUUUCAUAAGGAGUGUGUAAUAACUGCCUUUGUUGGUUUUUCCUCUUGUAAUGGGUCCGGUGGGAGGCCUUGUUAGCGCGGGGUGCGGAGCCAGGGGACCUCGCAGGAACUCCGGGAUUAGAGGCCGCCCCCGACCUGCCCCUAAACGUGAUCCUCCUCUGUAACAAUGGUCAUUCAGACGGCCGGUGAAUAUGAUUCUUUAGAUCCUCCUAAUUGCAGAAGCUUUCAGUUCCAGUGAAGGUCUCGGAUUUGGAGUUUGCUUCGUCAUCUCAGGCAGAAUUAAAGGCCCAGUCUGCGGUUUGAGGAAGGAUAAAGAGAAGAGCGAACGACAGAGGGACACGCCGAUGAUGUAAUGACCUGAAAGAGUUCGACUUACAGAGAGACUCCAGGAACAAAGCUGGAGGAAAGCUGCUGAUUAAGGAAGAAGAAGAAGAAGAAGAAGAAGAAGAAGAAGAAGAAGAAGAAGAAGAAGAAGACGUGGUCGUUCUUUGUCCUAAAACUUAAUCUAAGAAACACGGUAACAAACUUCUCAGUAAAAAUAAAGACUGUUAAUCCCUGAAACUAUGACCAGAUUAAGGUGUCAAAUUACCGGGUGCUUUUUAACAUCACUUGUAGUUAACCCUCUGCAGCAUCUCAACAAUGAGUGGAUCUGGAUCAGGGUUGUGGCCUCGGUCUGGUUUUAUGGCAGAGGUUGGAGAGUCUGGUGAUUACCGAGGGUCCGCACCUGUCUGCACUUCACACACCUGACCCACGCCCACCUGAGAAAAAGGAAAAGAGGGAAAGAAGGGGGGAAGGGAGAGGCUGCAGCUCUGGAUUAACGCGCAAAACAACACGACUUUGAGACGCGACGCAAUCAAAGAAAUUCUGCAGUAAAUUAAAUGUUUUGUACACGAAGUGUGUAAGAUGUUGCAAAUAUAUAAGCCUGUAGAGUCGCCCCCCGGUGGCCAUCAGAUGCAAUGCAAGUUUUAGACACUUCAACAGCGUCUUUUUAAAUGGAUCGAUCACGGCCUACACUGAGGUUCCAAAUCCUGUUACCAUUAAACUAAGCUGUAGCUAACUGAAGCUCUUUAAACGCUCUUUAACCUGACGCUGCUUUUAUUUCUCCUGAAGAGGAUAAACUUCACAUUUUCUUCCUGUUUUUGUGAAGUUUUUUUUUUCUCUUUUAACAUGUAAAACCACCUUCAUCUAACACCACGUGUGGUUUCUUCCUGGUGCCAUCCACAUCCUUGACAUGUCGGGGGGGUUCAGUCCACGCAGGUCGCACUCUGCUUUCUUUCACACGCUGGAUUUGUGGACCACAAGCGAGCAGUGAAAGAGGAGCGCAGAUUUGAGGGGCCCGAAAUGAACACUGCCUCUAUACUUUUGUUGAUUUGGCAUUCACACGGCUCGCCAUUUUUCAGGGAGGAAAUUCAAGUGAAGCACUCGCGAGCACUCGUGGAGCACUGAAGGCAAUUUUCCCCCUCAGUCAAGUGGCUAAAACCCUCUCCAUCUGAACAACUUCCUGCAUUUAGCCAGCACCCCCACUGACACCCUGCUCCCAUCAUCCCCCGGCUUAGCUGGCAUCAGUCACCACCUCUCAGCGGGCCGCUGCUCCUCGCAGAAGAGCGAGGAGGGGGCCGAGACCACCUCUCUGAUCAUGGAUUCACUCUGGAGAUAAAUGAAGUCGAAGCUCUGGUGUUUGCUCUUUCCCUCUUUCUCUAACGUUUCAAUAUUUCUCUGUUUUUGAAGGAGCUCCCAGUUGAUUGACGGAGACUUUUAGGAAACGAAACUCUAACGAGUGUUGAAUUAACUCUGAUGAGCGCGCUCUUACAGAUGCAGCAGCUGAGUGUUGAUAUUUAAACAUCUGAGUGUCAUUUACAGAAGAGAAAACAGAAGCACAGAGUGAUGAGGCGACAAGACGAUCUCACUGUCCUCUGGAGAAGAAGAAGAAGAAGAAGAAGAAGAAGAAGAAGAAGAAGAAGAAGAAGAAGAGUUUAUCUUUAGGAAGGACAGAAAGUUCGGCACUGUUUCUGACUUUGCAUUUUUUAAAACUGAAACAAGAGUGUGUGUCUGUGUGUGUGUGUCUGUGUGUGUGUGUGUUUGUGUUUACUUGUCCCGUUUGGUGGGACUUUUUUUUCUUCAAUCUUCAAACUUUUUUAGUCAGAAUAAAGUCCUGAGAGAUAAAAACAAAAACUGAAAUGUCAUGUUUAUAUUUUGUGUUCGAUCUUAAUCGUGUUUUUUUCAUACUCAGAGCUGCGUUUCUGAACGGACCCUCCUGUCCCUGUGUCAGAUCCAUGUUUUCCUCUCGGCCCCCCGACAGCCUCUGCAGGUCUGUUAGCAGCCUGAUGGCUCCCAUGGGGGACCAGAGGACCCUGAGGGAGCUGAUUAACCCUUUGCAUUCACGACCGUGACGGACGACAACCACAUACAACUGCUCACACCAACACCGGUCAGCGCCAUUACCAUUAUGGGCCGUGUUCAGGAGCCGUUAUAUGCAGAGAGGCGAGAGAGUGGAAGUGAGAGAGUGGAUUAAAGAAG
Molecule: non-coding RNA, 4441 nt
Organism: Xyrichtys novacula (pearly razorfish)
Lineage: Eukaryota; Metazoa; Chordata; Actinopteri; Labriformes; Labridae
Source: the annotation of a GenBank genome assembly